GACGAACGCUGGCGGCGUGCCUAAUACAUGCAAGUUGAGCGCUGAAGGUUGGUACUUGUACCAACUGGAUGAGCAGCGAACGGGUGAGUAACGCGUGGGGAAUCUGCCUUUGAGCAGGGGACAACAUUUGGAAACGAAUGCUAAUACCGCAUAAAAACUUUAAACACAAGUUUUAAGUUUGAAAGAUGCAAUUGCAUCACUCAAAGAUGAUCCCGCGUUGUAUUAGCUAGUUGGUGAGGUAAAGGCUCACCAAGGCGAUGGUACAUAGCCGACCUGAGAGGGUGAUCGGCCACAUUGGGACUGAGACACGGCCCAAACUCCUACGGGAGGCAGCAGUAGGGAAUCUUCGGCAAUGGACGAAAGUCUGACCGAGCAACGCCGCGUGAGUGAAGAAGGUUUUCGGAUCGUAAAACUCUGUUGGUAGAGAAGAACGUUGGUGAGAGUGGAAAGCUCACCAAGUGACGGUAACUACCCAGAAAGGGACGGCUAACUACGUG
This 497-nucleotide ribosomal RNA is filed under the name uncultured bacterium. RNAcentral's name for it is "partial 16S ribosomal RNA". It matches the Rfam family "Bacterial small subunit ribosomal RNA", at positions 28 to 507 of the family's 1533-position model. The record is from RNAcentral.